GGCGAACGCUGGCGGCAGGCCUAACACAUGCAAGUCGAGCGAAGCCUUCGGGCUUAGCGGCGGACGGGUGAGUAACGCGUGGGAACGUGCCCUUUGGUACGGAAUAGCCCCGGGAAACUGGGAGUAAUACCGUACGUGGUCGAGAGACGAAAGAUUUAUCGCCAAAGGAUCGGCCCGCGUUGGAUUAGGUAGUUGGUGGGGUAAUGGCCUACCAAGCCGACGAUCCAUAGCUGGUUUGAGAGGAUGAUCAGCCACACUGGGACUGAGACACGUCCCAGACUCCUACGGGAGGCAGCAGUGGGGAAUCGUAGACAGUGGGGGAAACCCUGAUCUAGCCAUGCCGCGUGAUCGAUGAAGGCCUUAGGGUUGUAAAGAUCUUUCAGUGGGGAAGAUAAUGACUGUACCCACAGAAGAAGCCCCGGCUAACUCCGUGCCAGCAGCCGCAGUAA
Molecule: ribosomal RNA, 449 nt
Filed under: uncultured bacterium
Lineage: Bacteria
Description: partial 16S ribosomal RNA
Rfam family: Bacterial small subunit ribosomal RNA
Source: RNAcentral